RNAcentral lists this ribosomal RNA (424 nucleotides) under Funneliformis mosseae. RNAcentral describes it as "eukaryotic LSU rRNA". It matches the Rfam family "Eukaryotic large subunit ribosomal RNA", at positions 348 to 628 of the family's 3401-position model. Lineage: Eukaryota; Fungi; Glomeromycota; Glomeromycetes; Glomerales; Glomeraceae. The record is from RNAcentral.
GUACCGUGAGGGAAAGAUGAAAAGAACUUUGAAAAGAGAGUUAAACAGUACGUGAAAUUGUUGAAAGGGAAACGAUUGAAGUCAGUCAUACCAACGGGAAAUCAACCUUUUGAGCUUGGUCUCGUGGGUUUUGAAGAGUUUCAAAGCCUUCGGAUUCGCGGGAUUGGGAUCUCUUGGUGUACUUUUUCGUACGGUUAGUCAACAUCGGUUUUGAAUGUCAUAAAAUGACUGGAGGAAUGUAGCUUCGAUCUCGUAUUGAAGUGUUAUAGCCUUUGGUAGAUGUGAUGUUUGAGACCGAGGAUUGCAACGGAUACCCUUCAGGGCUAUUCGUCUGAUCUCUGAUACGUUGCCUUGAUGUUGAAAGCUUGCUUAUGAUGUUAGGGUAUUACGGUCAAAAGGUUAGAACGGAUUAAAUUCGUUAAGG